ACGCUCGACACCUACGGGAGGCAGCAGUGAGGGAUAUUGGUCAAUGGGGGAAACCCUGAACCAGCAACGCCGCGUGAGGGAUGACGGUCUUCGGAUUGUAAACCUCUGUCCUCUGUGAAGAUAAUGACGGUAGCAGAGGAGGAAGCUCCGGCUAACUACGUACCAGCAGCCGCGGUAAUCUGAGCGGGCUGGCAAGGC
RNAcentral lists this ribosomal RNA (198 nucleotides) under uncultured bacterium. Its description in RNAcentral is "partial 16S ribosomal RNA". It matches the Rfam family "Bacterial small subunit ribosomal RNA", at positions 328 to 539 of the family's 1533-position model. The record is from RNAcentral.